CCUUGGCUGUUUUGGACCUCUAGAUCCAACUUCAUGGCUUUAAAGUCUCCCUGAGUUAGUCUCCCACUCCAGGAUCCAGUACUAGCCAGAAUAGAAUCCAUCUAGCCAGCUUCAUCUCUGCUGUCCUGUACCUACUGGGUCCAGCUUCACAAACUCUGAGAAGCUCUCCAAGGACAGAUUCCAUCUAGCCAACUCCAUCUCUGCUUUCCUGUACCUUCUGUAUCCAGCUUUUCCACUAUGAAGUUCCCCCAGCAAGCCCGCACCCCACCUCUCAGAGC
This is a long non-coding RNA of Tupaia belangeri chinensis (Chinese tree shrew), 278 nucleotides long. RefSeq lists it as uncharacterized. The transcript has 3 exons. NCBI's taxonomy places the organism in Eukaryota, Metazoa, Chordata, Mammalia, Scandentia, Tupaiidae. The record is from RefSeq and is a predicted model, not a curated record.